ACUCCUACUGGAGGCAUCAGUGGGGAAUAUUGGGCAAUGGACGCAAGUCUGACCCAGCCAUGCCGCGUGCAGGAUGAAGGCCUUUUGGUUGUAAACUGCUUUUCUGAGGGAAGAAAAGUAUCUAUUUAUGGGUAUCUGACGGUACCUCAGGAAUAAGCACCGGCUAACUCCGUGCCAGCAGCCGCGGUAAUAC
This 193-nucleotide ribosomal RNA is filed under the name uncultured bacterium. RNAcentral's name for it is "partial 16S ribosomal RNA". It matches the Rfam family "Bacterial small subunit ribosomal RNA", at positions 335 to 526 of the family's 1533-position model. The record is from RNAcentral.